GCCGAAAAUGAGAGGGAAAAUGAGAGAGUGGAUCGGAUGAGAGGGAAGAGAGGAGAUCUAUCGAGCAGGGGGGAGCUGAGAGGAAGAAAGAAGGAGAGGAAAGAAAGAAAGAAGCCGAAAAGAGGAAGAGAAAGGACAGAAAAAGGAAGAAGGAGAAGAAAAGAGAGGAGUGGCUGAACGGGACAAAGAAAGAGAGCUAAAGAGCGGUCGCCGCGAGGGAAGAAGAAAAGAAGAGAGGGUCGGGGGCAGGAGAGUGUGGAAGCUGAAUCGAAAGGAAGAAUAAGGAAGAAGGAAUGGCCCGAGAUGCCGUGUGACAGCAGAGACCGAGGCAAGCAAGGUAAAGGCAUAAAAAUCUUCAUUCCAAUCACAAGCAUGCAAGGGAGCUGCGAGGUGACUGAGAGGAGGCAACGGGGAGUCAAGCCGAGGCUAAAUCGCCCACGUUGAAAGGUAAAUCGAUUUUUUCCAUGUUUUGGUGGUGGUUGAGCGGCAGUGGGGAGGGGGGCUGGUAUUGGACUGGCUGCAUAGGCUCGGCUGAGCCACCCACCUACGCGGGAACCGAGGAGGUUUCCUCGGGAAUAGGAAAAGAUGAGUCAUUCGGGAAGCCGAAGGGUCUUCCCCGAGCACAGGAACCUGAUCCACCAUUUUGGGGUUUCGAUUCGCCGUUUGGAAAGUUGAAAAGUUUUCCUCGAAAAACAGAAAUCCGAUUUGUUAUCUGAGAAGCUGAAAAGUCUUUAUCAGAAAAUGGAAAUCUGAUUCGUCAAACGCAGAGUCGAAAAAUUUUUCGGAUACAGAUCUUGAUAAUUUCGGGUAUUACGUUAUAUGGUGGUUAGAACCCGUAAUUUGAUUAAAUCAAUUUUUAGUAUUUCAAAGUAUUUUAAUUAAAUUAUGUCGUGUGUACGAAAAAAUUUGGACAUUCAGACGAAUCCGAAAAGACGUGUA
Molecule: non-coding RNA, 939 nt
Organism: Carica papaya (papaya)
Lineage: Eukaryota; Viridiplantae; Streptophyta; Magnoliopsida; Brassicales; Caricaceae
Source: RefSeq, a predicted model, not a curated record